Molecule: ribosomal RNA, 528 nt
Filed under: Boaedon capensis
Lineage: Eukaryota; Metazoa; Chordata; Lepidosauria; Squamata; Lamprophiidae
Description: partial large subunit ribosomal RNA
Rfam family: Bacterial large subunit ribosomal RNA
Source: RNAcentral
AAAACAUAACCUUUAGCCACCAACCAAUAUUAAAGGCAACGCCUGCCCAGUGAACAAUUAAACGGCCGCGGUACCCUAACCGUGCAAAGGUAGCGUAAUCACCUGUCUAUUAAUUGUAGACCCGUAUGAAUGGCAAAAUGAGGGUUUAACUGUCUCUUAUGAUAAAUCAAUUAAACUGAUCUCCCAGUCCAAAAGCUGGAAUACCCCCAUAAGACCAGAAGACCCUGUGAAGCUUUAACUAAACUAUUAAACCCAAUAAUAGCUCCUUUGGGUUGGGGCGACCUUGGAAAAAAAAAGAACUUCCAAACUAAAUGAUUUACACCAUACUUUAUUAGGCCGACAAGCCUACUAACAGACCCAGCACAGCUGAGUAAUGAACCAAGUUACUCCAGGGAUAACAGCGCCAUCUUCUUCAAGAGCCCAUAUCAAAAAGAAGGUUUACGACCUCGAUGUUGGAUCAGGACAUCCUAAUGGUGCAGCCGCUAUUAAGGGUUCGUUUGUUCAACGAUUAACAGUCCUACGUGAUCU